CCUACGGGUGGCUGCAGUGGGGAAUAUUGCACAAUGGGGGAAACCCUGAUGCAGCGACGCCGCGUGAGUGAAGAAGUACUUCGUUACGUAAAGCUCUAUCAGCAGGGAAGAAACACUGACCUUACGGUCAGCAGACGGUACCUGAGUAAGAAGCCCCGGCUAACUACGUGCCAGCAGCCGCGGUAUUACGUAGGGGGCAAGCGUUAUCCGGAUUUACUGGGUGUAAAGGGAGCGUAGACGGUGCGCCAAGUCUGGAGUGAAAUGCCGCGGCUUAACUGCGGAACUGCUUUGGAAACUGGCGGACUAGAGUGCGGGAGGGGUAAGCGGAAUUCGUGGUGUAGCGGUGAAAUGCGUAGAUAUUAGGAAGAACACCGGUGGCGAAGGCAGCUUACUGGACCGUAACUGACGUUGAGGCUCGAAAGCGUGGGGAGCAAACAGGAUUAGAUACCCGAGUAGUC
This 458-nucleotide ribosomal RNA is filed under the name uncultured bacterium. RNAcentral's name for it is "partial 16S ribosomal RNA". It matches the Rfam family "Bacterial small subunit ribosomal RNA", at positions 338 to 795 of the family's 1533-position model. The record is from RNAcentral.